UACCUGCAGCUCGAGUGGUAACCGCUAUUAUUGGGCCUAAAGCGUCCGUAGCCGGUUUGGUAAAUAUCUGGGUAAAUCGUGAGGCUUAACUUCACGAAUUUCGGAUAGACUGCCAGACUUGGGAUCGGGGGAGGUCAGAGGUACUCCAGGGGUAGCGGUGAAAUGUUGUAAUCCUUGGAGGACCACCGGUAGCGAAGGCGUCUGACUAGAACGAGUCCGACGGUGAGGGACGAAGCCCUGGGGCGCAAACCGGAUUAGAUACCCGGGUAGUCCAGGGUGUAAACGAUGUGGGCUUUGUAUUGGAGGUCCCACGUGGGCGUCCAGUGCAGAAGAGAAGUUGUUAAGCCCACCGCCUGGGAAGUACGGUCGCAAGGCUGAAACUUAAAGGAAUUGGCGGGGGAGCACAGCAACGGGGGGAGCGCGCGGUUU
RNAcentral lists this ribosomal RNA (429 nucleotides) under uncultured archaeon. RNAcentral describes it as "bacterial SSU rRNA". It matches the Rfam family "Archaeal small subunit ribosomal RNA", at positions 474 to 903 of the family's 1478-position model. The record is from RNAcentral.